GUGGAGGGCGCAGCUGAUCCAGCCAUGCCGCGGUGAGUGAGAAGGCCUUAGGGUUGUAAAACUCUUUCGCCGGUGAAGAUAAUGACGGUAACCGGAGAAGAAGCCCCGGCUAACUUCGUGCCAGCAGCCGCGGUAAUACGACAGCAGCCGCGGUAAUACGAAA
Molecule: ribosomal RNA, 163 nt
Filed under: uncultured Xanthobacter sp.
Lineage: Bacteria; Pseudomonadati; Pseudomonadota; Alphaproteobacteria; Hyphomicrobiales; Xanthobacteraceae
Description: partial 16S ribosomal RNA
Rfam family: Bacterial small subunit ribosomal RNA
Source: RNAcentral